This 497-nucleotide ribosomal RNA is filed under the name uncultured bacterium. RNAcentral's name for it is "partial 16S ribosomal RNA". It matches the Rfam family "Bacterial small subunit ribosomal RNA", at positions 28 to 507 of the family's 1533-position model. The record is from RNAcentral.
GAUGAACGCUGGCGGCGUGCCUAAUACAUGCAAGUCGAGCGAACAGACGAGGAGCUUGCUCCUCUGACGUUAGCGGCGGACGGGUGAGUAACACGUGGAUAACCUACCUAUAAGACUGGGAUAACUUCGGGAAACCAGAGCUAAUACCGGAUAAUAUAUUGAACCGCAUGGUUCAAUAGUGGAAGACGGUUUUGCUGUCACUUAUAGAUGGAUCCGCGCCGCAUUAGCUAGUUGGUAAGGUAACGGCUUACCAAGGCAACGAUGCGUAGCCGACCUGAGAGGGUGAUCGGCCACACUGGAACUGAGACACGGUCCAGACUCCUACGGGAGGCAGCAGUAGGGAAUCUUCCGCAAUGGGCGAAAGCCUGACGGAGCAACGCCGCGUGAGUGAUGAAGGUCUUCGGAUCGUAAAACUCUGUUAUUAGGGAAGAACAAAUGUGUAAGUAACUAUGCACGUCUUGACGGUACCUAAUCAGAAAGCCACGGCUAACUACGUG